RNAcentral lists this long non-coding RNA (7290 nucleotides) under Homo sapiens (human). RNAcentral describes it as "HSALNT0054800". Lineage: Eukaryota; Metazoa; Chordata; Mammalia; Primates; Hominidae. The record is from RNAcentral.
GUGGGAGAUGCCAAAAUCCUUCAUUAGACUUGGUACUUUCCUUUCCUAUUUUAAGAAUCCUCUUAUUAGUGCUGUGGCAUGAAUACUUGUCCAUCUGUCUAUCCAUCUAUCCCCGAGCACCUGCAUCCUUCUCAGCAAAGCCAGAACCCUGUCCUCACAGAGCUCCCAAGCUGCUGUCAAAAGGUGAACAGAGGCUUGAUGCAGCCAGGAAAACAUCCAUGAGUGCAUGUCAGGGAAAGGCUCAGCACAGCCACCUGCUCCCUCAUCAUGGCCCUCCCUGCUCCAGGCAGGGUGUUCCAUCCAGAAGAGGAGCCUGCACGAAGGCAAGCUGUUCAGGGCGAAGAGCAGUCCACAUGGCUGAAGCACAAGUUGGAAAACAACAAUUGUCUAUGACCUGGUGAGCAAAGUCUCCAAGGACAGGCUUCACAGGGAGGCUCUGUGAGGGCGCAGAGACCCCAGGGAAGAGCUGACCAAGCAAGAACAGCAAGAACCGAGAGCAGCGGCUGCUUUUUCAAGUGGCUGGGUCGAUUGAGGCCAUCGUGCACAUUCAGGCUGGGCUUGCUGAGACACCCUCCCACUCACGACCCUACACGUUUCAGGAGGUGACCCAGGGGAGCCGCAGCGCUAUCACACAGCUUCUACAAGCCGAUUCAACCUCUAGUAAAAUUUUGGUAUUAAUGAAGUAUGCACUUAGAGGAACAACAAUGGGUAAUUUAACACCACAUUUACAUGAAGAAACUGGCUACAGUAGUCUGUUUGCCCUCAUCUUUCUUCACCUUCGGUUUAAAAGUACACAUUUUAUGUGACAUUUGUGUCCCCCAAGUCUAAUGCUAGUCUCGACAGCUGUGUUGCCCCGUUUGAGACAUUUACCCCUCCUGAUUCCCAGUUCUUUCAUCCAUAAAACAGGGACAAUCAUUCUUGCUUUGCCUUGCCCACCAGUGUUAUGGUAAAAGCCAGAUUAAGUAACAAGUUGGAUAGAGCUGUGCAAACUAUAAAGCACCUCACAAUGGAAGGCUCGCCCUGACUAAGGAUAGGUGAGACAGCUCCCCAGCCUGUGGGAAGUGUGAAUACACUUCUCCCUGUGGAUGCAGACUCUCUGAAGAGGUUUCUCCUGAGAUCCCACGACAGUUCAGUGACCCCACAAUCACCCAGGUGGGGCAAGGCCCUGGCCCAAGAUGCUGUCUAGAAUGUGCCCAGGGAUGACAAAUGGAGGUGGCCAGCAGGGUGACCUGGUGGACCACUCUACGGAGCCCAGCUUCAAGGACAUGCGGUCUGUGGGAAGAGGGCAGCAGCAUGCCUGGGGCGGCAGAGGCUGGCAGGGAGCUCUCCUCCUCACCGGCAGAGCAAAGGCAGCUUCUGCUUUGCUGCCAAGACUACAACAGUUAGCCUGGAUGGGGCAGUAAUGAUGGCCUUGCCACCCAGCAAAACUCCAAGGGUAACAGCACCCUGACCUUCCCCCAGGAACUGCUCCAUUCCUGCUCUCAUCCCAGGGGCAAUAAGAGUUGGCAUGCAGCCAAGGUUAUUGGUUCGGGGAUAGGCAUAAGCUCCAACCCACACCAACCGGGUCCGAAGAGAGCAAGUCUGGGAGCUUUCCCUGGGGUAACUAGGUAAGAAGUUCUUUUGUUGGCUGGAUUCAGCCCUGAGAGACCACAAGCCUAGAGUUGCCAGGGGGACAUAGAGAUGAAGAGCUAACACCCACCAAGGGAAGCCAAGCCAAAAAAUGAAGAGAAAGUGUGCCAGUCAGCCAGCCAGCCAGCGAAACUCAGAAGCAGGCACCUGGCCCUGAGGCCACUGUAUGCAUCCCUGGAUCAAGUUGAGCCUGAAGUCAAAAAUUCCCUUCUCUCCCCUCCCCUCCCCAUUUGGGCUUUUCAGUUAUAAAAGCCACCAAAUUAAGCUAGUUUGGGUUCAGUUUUUGUCACCUGCAAAUGAAGGAGUCCCACCUAAAUAUUAAUACAAUGGGCUGUAGGAUCACUCCAUGUCUCUAAAAUGUUGAGGUAUCUGAGAGAGAGAAUCUUCAGUAGCUCCUCAUUUCUCAAGAGACAACAUCUUUGAUGACUCCCUCUGACCCACAGGUUCAGCGGUGGUUCCCUAUACACAGGGCCUCCGAGCCCUAUAAGUCACUGCCUCUGGGAAUUCAUCUAGGCUCAGCUUUCCAAAUUCCCUCCUUCAAUCUUUUCCGUUCUCUGUUGCCAUCUUCAAUUUCAACUGGUUUCCUGUGCUGUGCACACUCUUGUAAACUUGACGCUUCAGACUUGCCUUCCUUCCCAUCCCGUGCAUCCCAGGGACAUGGACUCUGAGCUCCCUUGGCAGAGGGUACAUUCUAUGCUUGGCAGCCUCCCACUUCCGCACCCAGCUUCACCUCUAAGGCACUGCCCACUUCCAUCCCAUCUCGCCUGGCAGUUCAGGGACCCUAUUUCAGCUCAAUUCAACACCACUCACUGGUUAUCUGCUCCAUACCAGGCAUGAUCCUGAGCACUGGGGAUUCAAAGAUGGCUACAACACUGUUCAUAUCCUCAAGGAGGAUGGCAGAUAAUAUAUAAACAUUUCAGGACAGCAGACAAGAAUCCAAGCUCAAGCAGAGUACUAGGAGUCUCCUUUGGGGCGGAGAGGAUGGAGCAGCUAAUCGUGUCCGGAGCAUCUGGGAAGGCUUCUUGAGAAGCACAGGACUGCAUCACAUCUAAAUUCCUCCAUCUGGCAUCCCCGAGGACCUCUGCAAUCUGUCUACACUCAACCUACCAACAACCAACUGACGUCUGUCAUGGGUCCAGCGAGGACAGUGCCCCUGCCCCUCCUGAUGCCCCUUCCUCCUCCACGUGCCUCCAGUCCCUCAGCUCCCACAGCCUCCCACAUAUCUGCAUACUCACUGGAAGGUACGGUCUUCACGUCUGCUCUUUUCCAAGACUGAAAGCACUCCUGUUUGUCUAAAUCCUGCUUCACCCUUUAAGGGAAGACUAAGGAGUUUCAUUUCCUCUGAGCAUCAUUUUUCCCCUUUUGAAAGCCUAAUGUACUUAGGAUGAACCAAUGACCACCACAUGCCUGCUGCUUCUAACCCCCAUCCCCCGGCCAUAACAGACAUUCCCACUGGUCAUCAGACGGCACUCUUUCUCCUGGCACCCUGAGGCAGUGUCACAUGUUUUGCCAUUCAGGCAGCACCCACUGGGUAGAGUUGGCAUCCAAGUUGAAACUGUUUGCCAUCCAGAGCUAAAAAUUAUAUCACAUGUUUUGACAUGUCAUCAUGAAGGUAAAUCAUAUCAACAAACAAUUGAGCACCAACCAAGUACAAGAGCAGAGAAGGGUUGGGAAGGUGAACCUAUUGAUACACUGUCUCGUAUCAUUUGCAGCUUGUCAGUGCCUUGAGGACAAAAACCAUAUUCCAUCUACCUCUGCAGAAUCCCCUCACAGUACCAAAGCAGAGAGCUGGGUACUUCACCUCACUAGAUUCCAAGAUCCCAUCUCUACACAAAAGGAGAAACAGAACCAUUAUCUCGGGCUACAUUUCUCAGCACCUGGGCCAGCAAUCUUGUCUUAGUUGUCACCCAGGCCAGAAUCCCAUUUACCCCAUCCUAGUUGGCACUGCAGAGUUAUGCUUUAUUUCUAAACCAUGUCAGGCCUUUGCAUCCCAUCCCAAUGGCUCAGGUAAAAUUGGAUGGCAAUGGGAAUGUGCCCUACAUGGGCUGAUCAAAGUCAUACACUGUCUCCCUGGGAAUCUAUGGAGUUCAGGUCAACCCUCCAAUAUGUCUACUUCCUUUGCCAAAAAGUAAGAAAUGGUGGCUGGGCACAGUGGCUCACGGCUGUAAACCCAGCACUUUGGGAGGCCGAAGCAGGUGGAUCACCUGAGAUCAUGAGUUCAAGACCAGCCUGGCCAAACACGGUGAAACCUAUCUCUACUAAAAAUACAAAAAUUAGCUGAGUAUGGUGGCACGAGUCUGUAAUCCCAGCUACUUGGGAGGCUGAGGCAUGAGAAUUGUUUGAACCCGGGAGGCAGAGGUUGCAGUGAGCCGAGAUAGCACUGCUGCACUCCAACCUGGGUGAGAGCGAGACUCUGUGUCAAAAAAAAAAAAAAAAAAAAAAGUAAGAAAUGAGUGAACAUUUCAAAAUGGCAGGAACUGGUUAAGUUUAAAACUGAACACUUUCAUUUUGACAAGAAAGCAGUCAUUCUUUUUCUCCAUUAACAGAGAUAAAGAAAAGCUUUUCAAAUCUGUAUAUGGCUACGUUGAUUGACGUCUGAGUUAAAAAUGAAAUCUCAGCCGGGCGCGGUGGCUCACACCUGUAAUCCCAGCACUUUGGGAGGCUGAGGUGGGUGGAUCAUGAGGUCAGGAGAUGGAGGCCAUCCUAGCUAACAUGGUGAAACCCCAUCUCUACUAAAAAUACAAAAAAUUAGCUGGGCAUGGUGGCAUGCACCUGUAGUCCCAUCUACUCAGGAGGCUGACACAGGAGAAUCACUUGAACCCAGGAGGCGGAAGUUGCAGUGAGCCGAGAUUGUGCCACUGCACUGUAGCCUGGUUGACAGAGCGAGACUCCAUCUCCAAAAAAAAAAAAAGAGAGAGAGAGAGAAAUCUCAUUUCCCUGUUGCUCAGUCAUGUUCCUAUAAACAUACUACUUGCAUGCCUGGACAGUUAUCACUUUCCAACCUCUUAUCUCGGUGAUUUCCCAAGCUACAGAGUAAGAUAGGUGGAGAAUUUUUGUAUUUUUAGUAGAGACAGGGUUUCACCAUGUUGGUCAGGCUGGUCUUGAACUCUGGCCUACACAACAGAGCAAGACUCCGUCUCAAAAAACAAAUAGGCAGAGAAGGGGUUAUUUACAUUUCACAGAUGAGGUUCACAGGCACUGAGUUAUUUUUGCUACAGUCAACGUGAACAAUACAAACAGCAAUUGUGCCCUCUGGUUUGAAGAGACCUGGCUCCACCCACCUGGUGGGGAAAACUACAACUCCACCCUGGUCCCAUGCCUGCCAGCUCUCACCUGGACUCCUCUGUUGUCUCACGUAAGUCACAUCUAAGUAUGACCUCAGCUGCUCAAAGGACUGCUGAGAAAGUUAGUCAAGUUAUCCAACCAACACUCAGCAAACCGAGGACCCAUCUGGGAGGUGGAGCCACCCUACCCAAUCACAGCUGUUGGGAGUGUAUCUGUCCCAGUGGGUGGCACAGCUGAGCUCCUACCUAGAGGUGGCCACCAUGCUAGGAAGCACCUUCACCUUGGACAGUGGGCUCAGGUUCUGGCUCUGCCACUUAUUAGCUAUGCAGACUUGGGCAAGUGACUUUACCCCUCCUCACUGCAGCUUCUUCACUGUAAAAUGAGAAUACAGACACCAGAAGCUACCCAGGUUUGUUGGUAAGUGCAAAUGAGGCAGCCUAUGUAAACAAGAGCCAGUGUCUUCGUGUGGCAAACCCCAUGGCAAGUUCUCAUGGAACAUUGGCUAUUACUGCUGUGUCUAGUCUAUGUAACACUCACUGCCCUGCCCCAGCCACCAGCCACCACCCAGGAACAGCAUGGUGCCCGGUGCAGAGUAACUGCUAAAUACUAAGUUAGUAUACUCACAAUGUACCUAACUCACUGAUGACCCUGAAGGAGGUGCACAAUUCUUCCCGGAGGAGGCCCUGCCCUGGCUUAGGGCUGGCUCUGCUAUGAGGGAGACAGCUGCCUCAUCUAAAGCUGCUCUUACACCUUCCUGGACUGUCCAGAAAAACUCUCUAUGGUUUGCUAUAGACAGAACAGUCAGAAGGUGAAAGAGGGCCCAGAUCCCCAGGCCCAAUCUUACCCCAACUCCAUUCAUUGCUAAGGCUAAGAAUGUCUGUGGGUCAGUGGAGAACAGGCAGCACUCAUCUCAUCAGAGAAACUACUCUUUCAUACGAACGUCUCCAAUGUAUGGACACCAUUUUCCCACUGAGUGUGCCGACACCAUAGAAACACGGAUCAUACCUUUCUAAGUAAAUAUAUGAAUAGAAGCUUUAAAAUAUUUUAAGUAUGGAGUCUAUAAUUAAGACACAGCGUUUGAGAUAUUUACACAGAAGAUUAAUGACUCCAUGCACAUAAUUCAUCAUUGCUUUAGUAUUACCAAGUAAUAUUAAGUUAAUUAAGAGACAUUGGGAGGCCAAAAAACCAGGCAUGACCCAACUGCAGCCCUGCAAUGGAAAUGAAUGAGCAAGUCAGCAGGCAGAACUGAGUCUCGGGAGACCCACACUGAGCUGAGGAGUAUCUAAGAAACCCAUGUCACUUGCACUGACCUGCUCUUGCCAGUCCAAGGUCACUCUCAUCCAUUAUUUGACACCUCCCAGAGGCUAGAGAGAGGGCUCCGUCACCAUUUCCCAAGCUCAGAACCCACACAGGCCUUUCCACAGGCAAUUCCACUCCCAGGGAACCUGGUGGCUCCAAGAGGAGUUACUAGGGGAUUAUAUUGAGUUAGGUGGCAAGGGCUGGUUAAUUAUCUCUACUCUUCUUUUGAAAGUAAAUUUUAUGUUUUAAAUUGCUUUCCUUGCUCCAAAAAAAAAACCUUAGAGCAGCAAGAAUAUAAAAAUUCAAAGUAGGUGAGAAAGGGAACGUUACAUGGCUGUUUAAAAGGAGAAGGCAGAUCCACAUGUGAGGGCAAGAAAGAGUGCCUACGAUCUUAUUAUUCCAGAUUAUUACAGUGUGUAAUACGAAUACUGCAGUGGUAUGAACAUUACAGGCCCCUGGAAUCUGAAAAGAUGGUGACCUCUUCAUAAGCCAGUCUGCAGGGCAAGCACCCAGAAGCAAAGAGGCUUGCCUCAGAGAAAAAGAUCCUUGGGACUUUCCAACUCUACUUUUAGGUAGCUCUGAUUUGUGUGAGCUUUUCCCAUUGAGCAUCUUUUACUUUAAAAUCAGCUGAAACUUUAAAUAUUUAGGACAGAAGAAUAAGGUAAAAUGAAAAAAAAAGAGCGAGGAAAAUAAAAUAAAAAUAAGACCAUUGUAAAGAUGUAUCCUGUGAAGACAUGUCUUUAUUAAUAAGUCUGAGAUUUUUGAUAGUUAAUGUAAAAGAAGGAAAUCAGAUCAGUGACACAAGUCACCUUAACCGUUGAAUGAAACUGUUUCUUGGCACAGAACAAAAUAUUUCUCCAGAGGAUCUGCACAGAGAAAAGAAUCAGUUGACAAUAGGUAUUAAGCAUCAAUUAUAGGAAGUAGAAUAACAUGGAAUUCCUGUCUCCAUGAAAUGUAUACUGUAAUGGAGGAGAGAGGAUUGUUUAAAUAAAAUACAUAUGAAAUUAAUUCAGUGCUUUGUAUCCAGCAAUUUUUGAAAAAUGAAAUAAAAUUGUAUGGAAAAUAUCACAUUGCACA